RNAcentral lists this ribosomal RNA (424 nucleotides) under Verrucomicrobiota bacterium. RNAcentral describes it as "Verrucomicrobia bacterium partial 16S ribosomal RNA". It matches the Rfam family "Bacterial small subunit ribosomal RNA", at positions 355 to 776 of the family's 1533-position model. The record is from RNAcentral. Lineage: Bacteria; Pseudomonadati; Verrucomicrobiota.
UGAGGAAUAUUGGUCAAUGGGCGAGAGCCUGAACCAGCCACGUCGCGUGAAGGAAGACUGACCUUACGGUUUGUAAACUUCUUUUGUAGAGGGGUAAUGGCAGAUACGUGUAUUUGCGUGAAAGUACUCUACGAAUAAGCAUCGGCUAACUACGUGCCAGCAGCCGCGGUAAUACGUAGGUCCCGAGCGUUGUCCGGAUUUAUUGGGCGUAAAGCGAGCGCAGGCGGUUAGAAAAGUCUGAAGUGAAAGGCAGUGGCUCAACCAUUGUAGGCUUUGGAAACUGUUUAACUUGAGUGCAGAAGGGGAGAGUGGAAUUCCAUGUGUAGCGGUGAAAUGCGUAGAUAUAUGGAGGAACACCGGUGGCGAAAGCGGCUCUCUGGUCUGUAACUGACGCUGAGGCUCGAAAGCGUGGGGAGCGAACAGG